AACGAACGCUGGCGGCAUGCCUAACACAUGCAAGUCGAACGAGACCUUCGGGUCUAGUGGCGCACGGGUGCGUAACGCGUGGGAAUCUGCCCUUGGGUUCGGAAUAACAGUUAGAAAUGACUGCUAAUACCGGAUAAUGUCUUCGGACCAAAGAUUUAUCGCCCAGGGAUGAGCCCGCGUAGGAUUAGCUAGUUGGUGAGGUAAAGGCUCACCAAGGCGACGAUCCUUAGCUGGUCUGAGAGGAUGAUCAGCCACACUGGGACUGAGACACGGCCCAGACUCCUACGGGAGGCAGCAGUGGGGAAUAUUGGACAAUGGGCGAAAGCCUGAUCCAGCAAUGCCGCGUGAGUGAUGAAGGCCUUAGGGUUGUAAAGCUCUUUACCCGGGAUGAUAAUGACAGUACCGGGAGAAUAAGACCCCGGCUAACUCCGUGCCAGCAGCCGCGGUAAU
RNAcentral lists this ribosomal RNA (450 nucleotides) under uncultured bacterium. RNAcentral's name for it is "bacterial SSU rRNA". It matches the Rfam family "Bacterial small subunit ribosomal RNA", at positions 29 to 524 of the family's 1533-position model. The record is from RNAcentral.